This 50-nucleotide transfer RNA is filed under the name Paradoxurus hermaphroditus (Asian palm civet). Its description in RNAcentral is "tRNA-Pro". Lineage: Eukaryota; Metazoa; Chordata; Mammalia; Carnivora; Viverridae. The record is from RNAcentral.
AAUAACUCCACCAUCGGCACCCAAAGCGGAAAUUNUUUUUAAAYUAUUCC